AAUUCAUCUCCGGGGGUAGAGCACUGUUUCGGCUAGGGGGCCAUCCCGGCUUACCAACCCGAUGCAAACUGCGAAUACCGGAGAAUGUUAUCACGGGAGACACACGGCGGGUGCUAACGUCCGUCGUGAAGAGGGAAACAACCCAGACCGCCAGCUAAGGUCCCAAAGUCAUGGUUAAGUGGGAAACGAUGUGGGAAGGCCCAGACAGCCAGGAUGUUGGCUUAGAAGCAGCCAUCAUUUAAAGAAAGCGUAAUAGCUCACUGGUCGAGUCGGCCUGCGCGGAAGAUGUAACGGGGCUAAACCAUGCACCGAAGCUGCGGCAGCGACGCUGAUGCGUUGUUGGGUAGGGGAGCGUUCUGUAAGCCUGCGAAGGUGGCCUGUGAGGGUUGCUGGAGGUAUCAGAAGUGCGAAUGCUGACAUAAGUAACGAUAAAGCGGGUGAAAAGCCCGCUCGCCGGAAGACCAAGGGUUCCUGUCCAACGUUAAUCGGGGCAGGGUGAGUCGACCCCUAAGGCGAGGCCGAAAGGCGUAGUCGAUGGGAAACGGGUUAAUAUUCCCGUACUUGGUGUUACUGCGAAGGGGGGACGGAGAAGGCUAUGUUGGCCGGGCGACGGUU
RNAcentral lists this ribosomal RNA (615 nucleotides) under Salmonella enterica. RNAcentral describes it as "partial 23S ribosomal RNA". It matches the Rfam family "Bacterial large subunit ribosomal RNA", at positions 887 to 1503 of the family's 2925-position model. The record is from RNAcentral. RNAcentral also lists the same sequence under 1 other name. Lineage: Bacteria; Pseudomonadati; Pseudomonadota; Gammaproteobacteria; Enterobacterales; Enterobacteriaceae.